UACACGUCUGAAUCCAAAGGCAAACACAGGGUGAACUGAUGUUUUCAGGGCAGUUAAGGACUAGUAACCUCACAUCUGCCCUUGGAUGGGUGUUUAUUUUCUCAGACUAAGUUCCGGCUUGACGUUCCAGCUGCUCGCCCUUCCACUGCGCAGGGAUGUGGAGAAGGCUGCCAUCAGCCACUAAUGGAGAAAGCAGCUGUGUCUAGAGUGGGGACAAGCCGUCCGCCCAUUCCCAGGCUUCUUUCUCUCUUUGCCGCAAACACACUCUGUACACAGUCCAUCCGCAACGGAGAGACCUGGAGCAAAGGAAAAAGAUAUUCCUAAAGUGGCACUUAGGAAGAUAAAAAAAAUAAUUUCAAAAAUUAAAAGAAAAGUAAGUAGGAUAAGUCAUUUGGAA
RNAcentral lists this long non-coding RNA (397 nucleotides) under Chinchilla lanigera (long-tailed chinchilla). Its description in RNAcentral is "lncRNA (ENSCLAG00000022636.1)". Lineage: Eukaryota; Metazoa; Chordata; Mammalia; Rodentia; Chinchillidae. The record is from RNAcentral.